UAAACUAGGAUUAGAUACCCUAUUAUUUUUAAGUGUUAAUUUCCUAGGUAGUAUUAGCUAUGUUCUUGAAACCUAAAGAAUUUGGCGGUACUUUAUUCCGAUUAGAGGAAUCUGCCCUGUUAUCGAUAAUCCGCGUUGUACCUUACUUAGUUUGUAUACCGCCGUAUAUUGAUUAUCAUUUUAGUGUUUGAAAUUUUCUUGAUUCAUAAUUUUGCUUUAUUUCAGGUCAAGGUGCAGCUUUUAUCUAAGUGUGAGGUGGAUUACAUUGGUUUUUUGUUUAUUGGAUUAUUUGUUGUUAAAUUUGUAUGAAAUUGGAUUUGAUUGUAAUGUUUGGAUGAAGAUUGUUCUCAUGAUAAUUGGUUCUAAGGUAUGUACACAUCGCCCGUCGCUCUCAUAUUAAUGAGAUAAGUCGUAACAUAGUA
Molecule: ribosomal RNA, 422 nt
Filed under: Schedorhinotermes putorius
Lineage: Eukaryota; Metazoa; Arthropoda; Insecta; Blattodea; Rhinotermitidae
Description: partial 12S ribosomal RNA
Source: RNAcentral